GCGAGUGAAGCGGCAAAAGCUCAAAUUUGAAAUCUGGUACCUUUGGUGCCCGAGUUGUAAUUUGAAGAUAGUUUUCUGGUGCUGGCCCUUGUCUAUGUUCCUUGUCUCCGGAUGUCACAUAGGAAGAGAAUCCCGUCUGGCGGGGUGUCCAGUGCUUUGUAGAUUUCUAUCGACGAGUCGAGUUGUUUGGGAAUGCAGCUCUAAGUGGGUGGUAAAUUCCAUCUAAAGCUAAAUAUUGGCGAGAGACCGAUAGCGAACAAGUACAGUGAUGGAAAGAUGAAAAGAACUUUGAAAAGAGAGUGAAAAAGUACGUGAAAUUGUUGAAAGGGAAGGGUAUUAGAUCAGACUUGGUGUUUUGUGAUUAUCUUCCCUUCUUGGGUUGUGCACUCGCAUUUCACUGGGCCAGCAUCGGUUCGGGUGGUAAGAUAAUGACAUUGGAACGUGGCACUACCUUCGGGUGGUGUGUUAUAGCCCUUGUUGAUGUUGCCUACCUGGACCGAGGACUGCGGCUUUUGCCUAGGAUGCUGGCGUAAUGAUCUAACACCGCCC
This 549-nucleotide ribosomal RNA is filed under the name Williopsis saturnus. Its description in RNAcentral is "eukaryotic LSU rRNA". It matches the Rfam family "Eukaryotic large subunit ribosomal RNA", at positions 89 to 650 of the family's 3401-position model. The record is from RNAcentral. Lineage: Eukaryota; Fungi; Ascomycota; Saccharomycetes; Phaffomycetales; Wickerhamomycetaceae.